CCUACGGGGGGCAGCAGUGGGGAAUAUUGCGCAAUGGGCGAAAGCCUGACGCAGCGACGCCGCGUGAGGGAUGAAGGUCUUCGGAUCGUAAACCUCUGUCAGCAGGGAAGAACGGUCACUGUGCUAAUCAGCAGUGAAUUGACGGUACCUGCAAAGGAAGCACCGGCUAACUCCGUGCCAGCAGCCGCGGUAAUACGGAGGGUGCGAGCGUUAAUCGGAAUUACUGGGCGUAAAGCGCGCGUAGGCGGUAUGUCAAGUCAAGGGUGAAAUCCCCGCGCUCAACGUGGGAACUGCCUUUGAUACUGGCAAACUGGAGUGUGUGAGAGGAUAGUGGAAUUCCAGGUGUAGGAGUGAAAUGCGUAGAUAUCUGGAGGAACAUCAGUGGCGAAGGCGACUAUCUGGCACAUAACUGACGCUGAGGAGCGAAAGCGUGGGUAGCAAACAGGAUUAGAUACCCUAGUAGUC
This 465-nucleotide ribosomal RNA is filed under the name uncultured bacterium. RNAcentral describes it as "partial 16S ribosomal RNA". It matches the Rfam family "Bacterial small subunit ribosomal RNA", at positions 338 to 795 of the family's 1533-position model. The record is from RNAcentral.